ACGCUCGACACCUACGGUAGGCAGCAGUGGGGAAUAUUGCACAAUGGGGGAAACCCUGAUGCAGCGACGCCGCGUGGAGGAAGAAGGUCUUCGGAUUGUAAACUCCUGUUGUUGGGGAAAAAGAGGAUGGUACCCAACAAGGAAGUGACGGCUAACUACGUGCAAGCAGCCGCGGUAAUCUGAGCGGGCUGGCAAGGC
Molecule: ribosomal RNA, 198 nt
Filed under: uncultured bacterium
Lineage: Bacteria
Description: partial 16S ribosomal RNA
Rfam family: Bacterial small subunit ribosomal RNA
Source: RNAcentral